AGGAAUGCACGGUCCAUGUUUUUGUAUCUGAAUUUAUGCAAGUUGCAGAUCCAUAAACGCAUGGUGUCUUCCUGAGUUUGUUGUAUGCGAUUUGGCAUGCCCGCAACGAGUUCUUGUUUUGUUUGAUUGCACCAUCCAUGGAGCUGAUUUUGCACCACGCGGGCUCGCUGCGUCCGCUGUCGAGAAUGGCAUAUUCACUAGCUUAGCAACCUCCUUGGCACCCGGUCUCGUCCUCCUCCUGGACCUUCAAGAUAAAUUUUGACGCGGCGGUGACACGUUCAGGAGAUGCAUGCUUUGGCUUCAUUGCUCAGAAUUGUCGUGGUGAGGUCUUGAUUGCUGCCUGCGGUUGCAUUUAACCAGUCAUCUCCCCUUUGGUGGCGGAGACCCUUUGCAUGCGGUGGACUCUUGGAUAGUUGGAUUGGCUAGAGACCUUGGCUUCCGCACAGGAUUGUGCUUGAGACGGAUUGCCUUGUGUUGUUCGAGGCAUGGAAGCGUGGGGGGUGGUUGUUCUAUCUUGGAUUCUUUGCUUUUGGGUUGUCAUACUUUGCUUUCUUGUUUUGGUGUUUUCAGUUUUCUUUUUCUUCGUCGUUCCCAGAACUGUGUGGUUGAUGCUUUAGCUAAGCUUUUUUUUUAGUUUGGGUGAGGUGGUUUGGAUUGAGGAGGUUCCUCAUGAACUUAUUGACUUGGUCUAAUCUGAUGUAAUGACAUAUAUGCAUGACAUAUAUGCCCGUUUAUUUCUUCUUAAUUGAAUGAAU
RNAcentral lists this long non-coding RNA (755 nucleotides) under Lotus japonicus. RNAcentral describes it as "long non-coding RNA (LJAP_LNC000126)". The record is from RNAcentral. Lineage: Eukaryota; Viridiplantae; Streptophyta; Magnoliopsida; Fabales; Fabaceae.